Molecule: transfer RNA, 101 nt
Filed under: Sphaerobolus stellatus SS14
Lineage: Eukaryota; Fungi; Basidiomycota; Agaricomycetes; Geastrales; Sphaerobolaceae
Description: tRNA-Ser (TGA) (tRNA-Ser-TGA-8-1)
Source: RNAcentral
GAUUAGCUUCAUAUCAAUAAAGCGAACCCUUACAUGGUUACGGCAAUUGAUUUGAAAUCAAUUCCUCUUUGAGGGUGUAGGUUCAAAUCCUGCCAUCAUCA